Molecule: long non-coding RNA, 137 nt
Organism: Coregonus clupeaformis (lake whitefish)
Lineage: Eukaryota; Metazoa; Chordata; Actinopteri; Salmoniformes; Salmonidae
Exons: 3
Source: RefSeq, a predicted model, not a curated record
CCCUGUGGUGGUACAUCAUCCAGGGCUGGGGUUUGCCAAUGAUUGUCAUUGUAUCCUGGGGCUUGGCAAAAUACUUCUAUGAGGAUGAAGGCUGCUGGGAGACAAGGGUACAUGACUGGGUUUGGUGGAUUCUCAGA